AACGAACGCUGGCGGCAGGCCUAACACAUGCAAGUCGAGCGGACCUUUCGGGGUCAGCGGCGGACGGGUGAGUAACGCGUGGGAAUAUGCCCUUCUCUACGGAAUAGUCCUGGGAAACUGGGGGUAAUACCGUAUACGCCCUUUGGGGGAAAGAUUUAUCGGGGAAGGAUUAGCCCGCGUUGGAUUAGGUAGUUGGUGGGGUAAUGGCCUACCAAGCCGACGAUUCAUAGCUGGUUUGAGAGGAUGAUCAGCCACACUGGGACUGAGACACGGCCCAGACUCCUACGGGAGGCAGCAGUGGGGAAUCUUAGACAAUGGGGGCAACCCUGAUCUAGCCAUGCCGCGUGAGUGAUGAAGGCCUUAGGGUUGUAAAGCUCUUUCAGCUGGGAAGAUAAUGACGGUACCAGCAGAAGAAGCCCCGGCUAACUCCGUG
RNAcentral lists this ribosomal RNA (433 nucleotides) under uncultured bacterium. Its description in RNAcentral is "partial 16S ribosomal RNA". It matches the Rfam family "Bacterial small subunit ribosomal RNA", at positions 29 to 507 of the family's 1533-position model. The record is from RNAcentral.